This is a long non-coding RNA of Salvia miltiorrhiza (redroot sage), 1403 nucleotides long. RefSeq lists it as uncharacterized. Lineage: Eukaryota; Viridiplantae; Streptophyta; Magnoliopsida; Lamiales; Lamiaceae. The record is from RefSeq and is a predicted model, not a curated record. The transcript is spliced from 4 exons.
UCUUUCCCCACGCCACCAUCAGCAUCGAAGCUCCAGCCUCCGUCGCCCCACGCCACCCACCGCCGUCCGACCCUAUCCUCCGUUGCCCGCGCCAGAUCCGCCGUUCAGUGGGUGGUUGAAGUUUCUAAGUCGUAAUUUCGUUCUAUUCUUUUCGCCCAAGUUCCCAGCCUCCUUCCCCACGCCACCCAUCAGCGUCGAAGCCCCAGCCACCGUCGCCUCACAAGGUGCUAGGAAAACCAUCCUCACCGGCGCUAGGGCAGUGACUCCACGGCGGCGGCUCGAGUUCAGGCGCUAGGGCAUGGCGGCGGCGUAAGUUCAGGUGCUAAGGCACAGCGGCGAUGCGAUUUUAGGCGCCACUCCACGGCGGCUCUAUCGAUUAUAGGCGGCACCACUUCAGGCGACGAUUGAAUUUCGCACCUGCUGGUUUUGGGUUCCCGACGACCAACCAAACACGGCAUUGUUUCACUCGCUACAUUGAGUUCCACAGGUAUGAGUCUUAGAAUCAAUAUCCUUCACUAAUUCCUUGGAAGGAGUCAUAGUGAUACAUUAGAAAGGUAAACUAUGAUCCAUAUACACUGGCUUCGACUUUGGAUAGUAGAAUGGCCCUAAUUUGACAAAUUGAUAGGUUAGCCUUAGCCAAUACCAUAUUGCUGGUAUGUAGAAUUGUAUUUAAUAAAAUUGCUAUUGGUCUGACUAUAUUCUAGAUUAUUUGGCAGACUGAUUGAUUAUCAUUUUGAUAAGAAUUCCAAUUUCAUUAUGCGGUCAGUAUGAGCAGGUCAGUAUGAGCAGUUAGUACUAACAACCAUAUUCCUUGAAUUUAAUCUAUAUCGUUCUGGUAGUCAAAAUGCUUGGUGGUUGAAAUCCAAGGGGAGGAAGAAGAAAAUAGAUGAUGGUGAAGAUGCAGUGAAGGAGAGUGGAUACUGCAUCAGUUUAAGGUUUAUUGGCUGCUGUGUUACUUCAAGAUCUACAAUUGAUAGCUUUGUGAGUAGCAUCAGCACUCAUGGGAAUAAACCCAUCGCCUAUGUUUGAGUGUCAAAAAAGGUGGUUAGAAUUAUUAUUGGGUUUACGUGCAUAUCCUAUAAAGUAUUGCACUUGCAAAAUUCAAGAUUAUAAGGCACCUCAUUGUGAACAGGAUGAGGAUGUAAACCUUGAUGACGUUGAUGCUGAAUGUAUUCAGCAACAAUCAGAUAUUCAUAAUAGUAUUGUCAUGAAGCUGGUUAAGAAAGUUGCCCAUAGAGAAUCUACAGCUCCAGAUAGUAUUGCGAAAAGAUUUGAUCAAAAAAGUUAUACUUAUGUUUCAAUGUAAUAUAGGAUGAUGAUGAUUGAUACUAAUGGAUGUAGGAUGAUGAUGUUUGAUACUAAUGUAUAAAUUUUUAUUAUUAAUUUAUGUAUUUUUGGCUUUU